Molecule: ribosomal RNA, 187 nt
Filed under: Salmonella enterica subsp. enterica serovar Gallinarum
Lineage: Bacteria; Pseudomonadati; Pseudomonadota; Gammaproteobacteria; Enterobacterales; Enterobacteriaceae
Description: partial 16S ribosomal RNA
Rfam family: Bacterial small subunit ribosomal RNA
Source: RNAcentral
UUAAAUUGAAGAGUUUGAUCAUGGCUCAGAUUGAACGCUGGCGGCAGGCCUAACACAUGCAAGUCGAACGGUAACAGGAAGCAGCUUGCUGCUUCGCUGACGAGUGGCGGACGGGUGAGUAAUGUCUGGGAAACUGCCUGAUGGAGGGGGAUAACUACUGGAAACGGUGGCUAAUACCGCAUAACGU